Molecule: long non-coding RNA, 1148 nt
Filed under: Drosophila guanche
Lineage: Eukaryota; Metazoa; Arthropoda; Insecta; Diptera; Drosophilidae
Source: RNAcentral
AGCAUGUCGAGACAAUUCCCAAAAUCUCAUAGAUUUGUUUUACAAGUUGAGUGCCUGAUAAAACACGACCAAAAACCGAACAUAGUAAUACUCUAGUAGAGCCGUGAAUCGCAGACGACUAUGUCCAUGUGUGUCUGAGUGCUGGGGCUUAGCGAGUUCGAUGGGCUUAUGGUCAGGCUCCGGGGCUCCGGGGCACCGUGAGUGGCAACAUGUUCGGCAAUGCCGCUGAACAUGAUUGAUUCGCUCAGCUCGGUUAUUUUCGCGAUUUCUGGGCUCUGUCAGCGGUCGUCGGUCCCUCAGCGCACGAUCACAAUCAGUCAGGGGGCUGGCUAAGAGUGUUCAGAGCCUAAAAAUAAACUGACGUUCGGCCAAAGACUGAGCCUGAAGCUGAUAAGAGCCGCCUGAAUGCCUGCGAUGAUGUCCAUGCCAAUUUGUUAAUAAAUAUAUUUGAUUUUCACACACUAGUCGUCGUCGGCACAGGCACCUUGAAUGCCACUGUGGAGUAUUUGUUUUCCACUCGUAGUACUUUCAGUUCUAUUUCUGUGCUUCUAUCAAUGCAAAUAGUGUGCUUCCAGAAUGAUUGAUGUUCUGAUUCUGCUUCUGUUUCUGUUCCUGGGCUUCGCAAAAUGAAAUUAGUUCUCUUCUUCGUUCCAACAACUGAUAUCGGCAGGUUACUGUCAGCAGGCACAUGACCCAUAGAGUUUUUUGUUUCUUUUUUAUUUGAUAUCAUUAAUAUUUCACUAUUUUGUGCAUUGUCACAGUUCGUGUCGAGUGUCAGCGGGUCUGGUGAUGAAUUCUUAUUAAUUGCUGACAGUUCCGAUCCCCCCCCCCCUCCCCUAAAAAUAUGUUGGAUCGCAACUUCAUUUUGUUUGCUCAGCGAUACGCAGGGUUCCCCGUUCCAUCAUCAUCAUCAUCAACAGCCAGUUCUCUCGAGUUUGUGCUUGGGGUUUUCCACAGCAAGCUGCGUAUACGCAAUCUCAAGUUCGUUCGGGCCCACGUCGAUUUGUGUCGUACAGUCGGACAGUCGGACAGUCGGACAGUCGGACAGUCGGACAGCAGAUAAAGUGCCCUGUACCGGCCCCAAAGGGAAAUAUUGUCUGGUGGUCCCCAAAAGUAUGACCCAAAGUACACAUUGGAUGUUAUUAAAC